This is a non-coding RNA of Pelobates cultripes (western spadefoot toad), 104 nucleotides long. NCBI's taxonomy places the organism in Eukaryota, Metazoa, Chordata, Amphibia, Anura, Pelobatidae. The record is from the annotation of a GenBank genome assembly.
ACAAAUGCAGAAAGAUAAGUCCUGCGCUCACUCAUACCCUUUUCUGUCUCAUUAGAGAUUUUUGCCAGAAAGGGGUAUGAGUGAGCGCAGGACUUAUCUUAAAC